CUUAGUGACCGAUAGCGCAUAGUACUGUGAAGGAAAGGUGAAAAGGACCCCGGGAGGGGAGUGAAAAAGAACCUGAAACCCUGUGUUUACAAGCUGUGGAAGCACGUUAAGGUGCGACCGCGUACUUUUUGUAGAACGGUCCGGCGAGUUGCCGGUACUGGCAAGGUUAAGAGCUUAAGGCUCGGAGCCGAAGGGAAACCAAGUCUCAAAUGGGCGUCAAGUCAGUACAGGCAGACCCGAAACCGGGUGACCUAUCCAUGUCCAGGUUGAAGCGGAAGUAAAAUUCCGUGGAGGACCGGAUCCACAUCCGUUGAAAAGGGUGGGAAUGAGGUGUGGAUAGGGGAGAAAUUCCAAUCGAACCCGGAGAUAGCUGGUUCUCCUCGAAAUAGCUUUAGGGCUAGCCUCAUAUUAGUUUAGCGGAGGUAGAGCACUGAAUUCCUAAGGGGGCGUCAAAGCUUACCAAGGGAUAUCAAACUCCGAAUGCCGCAUAAAUGAUGUAUGGGAGUCAGACUGCACGAGAUAAGUUGGGUAGUCAAAAGGGAAAGAGCCCAGACCUACAGCUAAGGUCCCAAAGUGUGUGUUAAGUGGAAAAGGAUGUGGGAUUUCAAAGACAACUAGGAUGUUGGCUCAGAAGCAGCCACACAUUCAAAGAGUGCGUAAUAGCUCACUAGUCGAGAGGUCCUGCGCCGAAAAUGUCCGGGGCUGAAACACAACACCGAAGCUUAGGAAUGUAUGUAAGUACAUUGGUAGAGGAGCAUUCUUAGUGCGGAGAAGCGGUACCGAUAAGGAGCCGUGGAGCGCUAAGAAGAGAGAAUGCCGGAAUGAGUAGCGAGAUGGAGGUGGGAAUCCUCCAGGCCGAAUAUCCAAGGUUUCCAGAGUAAAGCUGAUCUGCUCUGGGUAAGUCGGGGCCUAAGGCGAGGCUGAGAGGCGUAGUCGAUGGACAACAGGUUGAAAUUCCUGUACCAUGUAUCAUCAGAACUGUGGGGACACAGAAGGACAACACAUCCCGGGAAUGGGAAUACCGGGGCAAGCGAGGUAGGAGUACGGUUGGCAAAUCCGCCGUGCAAUCCGAAGACGUGACGCGCAGCGAACUAAAGUAGCGAAGUGUGUGAUUCCGGCUGUCAAGAAAAGCCGCUAUUGUGUGAUACAUGCCCGUACCGUAAACCGACACAGGUAGAUGAGGAGAGAAUCCUAAGGCCGGCGGGAGAAGCAUUGUUAAGGAACUCGGCAAAAUGACCCCGUAACUUCGGGAGAAGGGGUGCCACAGAGAUGUGGCCGCAGAGAAUAGGCUCAAGCAACUGUUUAGCAAAAACACAGGUCUAUGCAAAACCGUAAGGUGAGGUAUAUGGGCUGACGCCUGCCCGGUGCUGGAAGGUUAAGAGGAGAGGUUAGCGCAAGCGAAGCUUUGAAUUUAAGCCCCAGUAAACGGCGGCCGUAACUAUAACGGUCCUAAGGUAGCGAAAUUCCUUGUCGGGUAAGUUCCGACCCGCACGAAAGGCGUAAUGAUUUGAGCGCUGUCUCAACAAUGCACCCGGUGAAAUUGAAAUACCAGUGAAGAUGCUGGUUACCUGCGCCAGGACGGAAAGACCCCAUGGAGCUUUACUCCAGUUUGAUACUGGGAUUCGGUAUUGCAUGUACAGGAUAGGUGGGAGGCUUUGAAACAUGGACGCCAGUCUGUGUGGAGCCAAUGUUGGGAUACCACCCUUGCGAUAUUGGGUUUCUAACCUGCGCCCGUGACCCGGGCGGGGGACAAUGUCAGGCGGGGAGUUUGACUGGGGCGGUCGCCUCCGAAAGGGUAUCGGAGGCGCUCAAAGGUUCCCUCAGGAUGGUUGGAAACCAUCCAAAGAGUGCAAAGGCAUAAGGGAGCUUGACUGCGACACCGACGGGUGGAGCAGGUACGAAAGUAGGACUUAGUGAUCCGGUGGUAUGAAAGUGGGAUUGCCAUCGCUCAACGGAUAAAAGCUACCCUGGGGAUAACAGGCUUAUCACUCCCAAGAGUUCACAUCGACGGAGUGGUUUGGCACCUCGAUGUCGGCUCAUCGCAUCCUGGGGCUGUAGCAGGUCCCAAGGGUUGGGCUGUUCGCCCAUUAAAGCGGUACGCGAGCUGGGUUCAGAACGUCGUGAGACAGUUCGGUCCCUAU
RNAcentral lists this ribosomal RNA (2141 nucleotides) under human gut metagenome. RNAcentral's name for it is "bacterial LSU rRNA". It matches the Rfam family "Bacterial large subunit ribosomal RNA", at positions 476 to 2641 of the family's 2925-position model. The record is from RNAcentral.